AGUCGAGCGGAUGACAGGAGCUUGCUCCUGAAUUCAGCGGCGGACGGGUGAGUAAUGCCUAGGAAUCUGCCUGGUAGUGGGGGACAACGUUUCGAAAGGAACGCUAAUACCGCAUACGUCCUACGGGAGAAAGCAGGGGACCUUCGGGCCUUGCGCUAUCAGAUGAGCCUAGGUCGGAUUAGCUAGUUGGUGAGGUAAUGGCUCACCAAGGCGACGAUCCGUAACUGGUCUGAGAGGAUGAUCAGUCACACUGGAACUGAGACACGGUCCAGACUCCUACGGGAGGCAGCAGUGGGGAAUAUUGGACAAUGGGCGAAAGCCUGAUCCAGCCAUGCCGCGUGUGUGAAGAAGGUCUUCGGAUUGUAAAGCACUUUAAGUUGGGAGGAAGGGCAUUAACCUAAUACGUUAGUGUUUUGACGUUACCGACAGAAUAAGCACCGGCUAACUCUGUGCCAGCAGCCGCGGUAAUACAGAGGGUGCAAGCGUUAAUCGGAAUUACUGGGCGUAAAGCGCGCGUAGGUGGUUUGUUAAGUUGGAUGUGAAAUCCCCGGGCUCAACCUGGGAACUGCAUUCAAAACUGACAAGCUAGAGUAUGGUAGAGGGUG
RNAcentral lists this ribosomal RNA (605 nucleotides) under Pseudomonas laurylsulfatiphila. RNAcentral's name for it is "bacterial SSU rRNA". It matches the Rfam family "Bacterial small subunit ribosomal RNA", at positions 60 to 660 of the family's 1533-position model. The record is from RNAcentral. Lineage: Bacteria; Pseudomonadati; Pseudomonadota; Gammaproteobacteria; Pseudomonadales; Pseudomonadaceae.